RNAcentral lists this ribosomal RNA (318 nucleotides) under Triticum aestivum (bread wheat). RNAcentral describes it as "partial small subunit ribosomal RNA". The record is from RNAcentral. Lineage: Eukaryota; Viridiplantae; Streptophyta; Magnoliopsida; Poales; Poaceae.
AUGGUAGUGCAUUUGGGAAGGUCGGCUGCUACACAAAUUAAACAUAGUGGUGAGGAGAAGCGAUGGAUGCCACCAGCAGUUGGCUUGGCCAAGCUGAACACAGACAGGAGCUACAUCCUAGCUACAGGAGCUGCUGGCGGAGGUAUGGUGCUGCGUGGCGCUGCCGGAGAGAUUAUUUAUACUGCUUGCAGGCAAUUACGUACAUGCGCUAAUGAUUUAGAGGCGGAACUAGCUGCGUGCAGUGAAGGGCUGGCUCUCGCCCUCCAUCAUACUGAGUUGCCGAUUGUCAUUGAGAUGGAUAGUUUGGAGGCGGUGUAG